Calidris pugnax (ruff) is the source of this 2924-nucleotide RNA transcript. It is a transcript of the gene named Fas apoptotic inhibitory molecule, with no coding region annotated. NCBI's taxonomy places the organism in Eukaryota, Metazoa, Chordata, Aves, Charadriiformes, Scolopacidae. The transcript is spliced from 10 exons. The record is from RefSeq and is a predicted model, not a curated record.
AAGAAACAAACGACAAAACAGCCCCAGACCCUUUUUGCUGGCAAUAGACGUGGGCGGUGGGGAGAAAUUAAACGUCCCCCAUCCCCCGCUCUCUGCCGGCAGGCCUGGAUUAGGUGGAUGCAGAGCGGUUAAUCCUAUCCGAGUUUUCAAAACAAGCCCUUAUGUAUAAUAAGAAGUAAAUCUCAUUUUGGGCCGCUGACUGGGUUCAACGGAAAAAUGCCGUGAAAGGAGGGGCCUGCCGUCAGGGCUAAGGCGUUUCCUUCGGAUCCCAGCCAGCGAGGGGAUGUCUGAGGGCAAACUCCGCGGAAGCAUCUCCUCCUCGUGUUUGGGUUCAGGUUUGAUUUAAGAAAAAUAAUGAUGUGUUACCACAUUAUCAUGAUAUGUUUUUUAAAAAAAAAAGGAAAUUGUGCGUUCUGGGAUGUUUUCUAACCCUUUCAGCAUUGAUCCUGAGUUCUCUGCUAAAAUGUUGUUGCAGUCUCUGUGGGUAGGCUCCAGGUGCCACCUCUUCUGGUGUAUCUCUUUGUGCCUGAGGCCACCUCUUGUGUGGCUCAGCUGGCAGGGACAGGCGUGGGUCUGACCUGUGGACCCCUCCUUUGGGGAGCAGGGGAAGGGGGAGCAAAGGAAUAUCCCCCAUGUCCCCGCCUGGCGCCCACCAGGGAGGUGGCAGGGAACCAGGGGAGUCACAGGAACAGUCCCGUAACUUUAGGAACAACCCAAACCACCUCCUUGGCGCUUAUUAGGUGGUGUAGACAACUCACCACUGUGAGAAUUAAAUCCUUGUAUCCUUAAAGCAGUUUCACUGUUUUUUAAAAACUCACUUUUCAGUUUAUGAAUGGAAACGUGUGAUUACUGACAAAAGCACGGACAGUAAUACAGCAGUUGUACAGCAUGUACUUGAGCAUGCUUUCAAAUAGAAGCUUAAGGCAGAGUGAAGGAGGUUUAAUUUUUAAAUGUACGAUCAUCCUUUAUGCUAAAGAGAGACCCUAGAACUUGCAACUUUACUUUUAAUUCAUUUUUCACUGAAAAGUAUACAACUUACCAAAAAAUUUUCUUAUUUGCACUUAGUGAAAUUAUGCGUAUUGAUAUGCACAGACAAUGCAGAUAACUCUUACAUAAAUUCAUCUUUACUGAAAAUGAUAAAUUAAAAAUAUCAGCAGUGUCGUAUAACACAGUCAUGAUCUAAAAGUGUCCUAAGUAAGAAACAAGUGAUUGUGGUUCUCAUAGACUUUAUGGCUGAAUUGCCAGGUCAAAUUGCUAAUGAAACUGUUGAAAACUAUGACAGUGGUUUAGAAAAACAAGGAGACUGAGAUUGUUGGCUGCGCUGUUUCACUUUCCCAGAGGUGGCAACAGUCCCUGCUCUGUUACGGUUUGUGACGGAAAUGGGCAGCUCUGGAUGAGGUUCCUGCUUUGCUCAAGUUGUCCAUUUCUAAGCUUUUGCUCACAAGUUUGGCAAACCCUUUUUCCAUCAAGUAACUAGCACAUUUAUGAUGCGCUCAUAAAGUUAGGCUAAAUUGCACUUAGUACUUUUGUAAAAGAAUACUUAAGAUUUGCCUUUCUGUCUGAGGGGAAAAACUGUCUUUGUAUUUCAUCAUAUAUCCAGCAGUGCAUGAUAGCUCAUGAAGCUUUUAAAAAUGUAAUUUAUCUUCAAUGGAGAACAUGAGGAAAAUUUAGGCCUCAACACUUCUCUGCUGCUAUUCUGCUUUUUUUUUUUUCUUGCUGCUAAUUGGAUUAAAAGCCGUUUUGGUUACUAUGGCAUCCCGUGAGGAGAUUACUGUCUGUGAAGAUGAAUUAAGGUCUCGGUACAGCCACUUAGAGAAGAUGACAGAUUUGGUGGCUGUUUGGGAAGUAGCUUUAAGUGAUGGUGUUCAUAAGAUUGAAUUUGAACAUGGGACCACUUCAGGAAAACGUGUUGUCUAUGUUGAUGGAAAGGAAGAAAUAAGAAAAGAAUGGAUGUUUAAAUUAGUGGGUAAAGAAACAUUCACUGUUGGAGCAGCCAAAACAAAAGCUACUAUUAACAUUGAUGCAGUCGGUGGCUUUGCAUAUGAAUAUACUUUGGAGAUCAAUGGAAAGAGCCUCAAGAAAUAUAUGGAGAACAGGUCAAAAACAACCAAUACUUGGAUACUGAGCUUGGGUGGUACUGAUUAUAGAGUUGUUCUAGAAAAGGACACUAUGGAUGUGUGGUGCAACGGUCAAAAAAUGGAAACAGCGGGUGAAUUUGUAGACGAUGGGACUGAAACUCACUUCAGUGUUGGUGAUUACAGCUGUUGCAUUAAGGCUGUCAGUAGUGGAAAACGGAAGGAAGGAAUUAUUCAUACCCUUAUCGUGGAUAACAGAGAAAUCCCAGAGGCUGUGGAGUAGCCUAUAGUUAACUGAUUGCUGUAGGACUAAGAUCAGGAAUUUUCAAUUACUGUGCAUCCUCUCUAAAAGCAACCUUGGGAUCUCUAUGAGGACUAGACUGGGUUGAGACUGCUCUCCAUUAGGACAGUGCUUUCCACGUGGAUGAAAUGCUUUUCAUAUGACGUUGUUUUUAAUAGUUUCAUGCGAGCCCAUCUUCUCCCCAGCCUUCCAAAGAGACUGACCACCACUGAGAAAUCCGAAGCUCAAAUACAGUCCAAGUCAUGUUCUUAAGACUAUGUGGAAAAAUAACAGCCCACCUUUCACAGAACGGUAUCUACACAGAACAACUCUACAGCCACGAGGAAAAAUUAAUCAUUCAGUAGCUCUUUGUAAUGCCACUGCCUCUAUCAACUGUUAAGCAAAGUCAAGGACACGACAGAACAAGUCCACUGGAGUCCUCUUGUGAUGCGCAAACGAAUACCUCCAAGUUUGAUGAAAGCUGAAGGCUGGCUUGGUGAAGCUGAAAGAGUUUCCUGACCUGAAAGAGUUUCCUGAAGUGAACUGCUAUCACCCAGAAUCACUUCACA